GAUGAACGCUGGCGGCGUGCUUAACACAUGCAAGUCGAACGGAAAGGCUCCUGCUUGCAGGGGUACUCGAGUGGCGAACGGGUGAGUAACACGUGGGUGAUCUGCCCUGCACUUCGGGAUAAGCCUGGGAAACUGGGUCUAAUACCGGAUAGGACGAUGGUUUGGAUGCCAUUGUGGAAAGCUUUUCAGUGUGGGAUGAGUUUGCGGCCUAUCAGCGUGUUGGUGGGGUAAUGGCCUACCAAGACGUGGACGGGUAGCCGGCCUGAGAGGGUGUACGGCCAGAUUGGGACAAGGAUACGGCCCAGGCUCUGACGGAAGGCAGCAGUGGGGAGUUUUGCACAUUGGGCGGAAGCCUGAUGCAGCGACGCGGCGUGGGGGAUGACGGCCUGCGGGUUGUAAACGCCUUUCGCUAGGGACGAAGCGCAAGUGACGGUACCUGGAGAGGAAGCACCGGCUAACUACGU
RNAcentral lists this ribosomal RNA (464 nucleotides) under uncultured bacterium. RNAcentral describes it as "partial 16S ribosomal RNA". It matches the Rfam family "Bacterial small subunit ribosomal RNA", at positions 28 to 506 of the family's 1533-position model. The record is from RNAcentral.